GCGCCGGUAGCUCAGCUGGAUAGAGCGCGACACUACGGAUGUUGAGGUCGGGGGUUCGAAUCCUCCCCGGCGCG
This 74-nucleotide transfer RNA is filed under the name Bacteroidota bacterium. Its description in RNAcentral is "Bacteroidetes bacterium (marine metagenome) tRNA-Arg". It matches the Rfam family "tRNA". Rfam says of the family: Transfer RNA (tRNA) molecules are approximately 80 nucleotides in length. Their secondary structure includes four short double-helical elements and three loops (D, anti-codon, and T loops). Further hydrogen bonds mediate the characteristic L-shaped molecular structure. tRNAs have two regions of fundamental functional importance: the anti-codon, which is responsible for specific mRNA codon recognition, and the 3' end, to which the tRNAs corresponding amino acid is attached (by aminoacyl-tRNA synthetases). tRNAs cope with the degeneracy of the genetic code in two manners: having more than one tRNA (with a specific anti-codon) for a particular amino acid; and 'wobble' base-pairing, i.e. permitting non-standard base-pairing at the 3rd anti-codon position. The record is from RNAcentral. Lineage: Bacteria; Pseudomonadati; Bacteroidota.